UCCAUUCCUUUGGUACCUGGUGCUCGGCCAGUCAAUUUGCGGCCGUACCGACAUAGUCCAGCGCAGAAAGAUGAAGUGGAACGACAAGUGGCUGAUAUGCUGGCUCAAGGCAUCAUCCAACCAAGUACAAGUCCCUUUGCAUCACCUGUUUUGCUAGUGCAGAAGAAAGACCUUACGUGGCGUUUUUGCGUGGAUUACCGUCACCUCAAUGCAGUCACCGUUAAGAAUCGUUACCCUCUCCCAGUCAUUGAUGAGUUGCUGGAUGAACUAGUGGGAUCUUGGCUGUUCACUAGUUUGGAUCUACGAGCUGGCUAUCAUCAGAUCCGGAUGCGACCCGAGGAUGAGCAUAAGACAGCCUUCAAAACGCAUCAUGGACAUUUUGAGUUUAAGGUAAUGCCAUAUGGUGUCACGGGAGGACCAUCGACCUUCCAAGGGGGCAUG
RNAcentral lists this ribosomal RNA (441 nucleotides) under Triticum aestivum (bread wheat). RNAcentral's name for it is "partial small subunit ribosomal RNA". The record is from RNAcentral. Lineage: Eukaryota; Viridiplantae; Streptophyta; Magnoliopsida; Poales; Poaceae.